GUUUUAUNNUGCCUCAGAUUGAACGCUGGCGGCAUGCCUUACACAUGCAAGUCGAACGGUAACAGGUCUUCGGAUGCUGACGAGUGGCGAACGGGUGAGUAAUACAUCGGAACGUGCCCAGUAAUGGGGGAUAGCUCGGCGAAAGCCGGAUUAAUACCGCAUACGCCCUGAGGGGGAAAGUGGGGGACCGCAAGGCCUCACGUUAUU
RNAcentral lists this ribosomal RNA (207 nucleotides) under uncultured Limnobacter sp. Its description in RNAcentral is "partial 16S ribosomal RNA". It matches the Rfam family "Bacterial small subunit ribosomal RNA", at positions 11 to 222 of the family's 1533-position model. Lineage: Bacteria; Pseudomonadati; Pseudomonadota; Betaproteobacteria; Burkholderiales; Burkholderiaceae. The record is from RNAcentral.